CUGCACUAGAAGAAGUAGUGUCAGUGGUGAAGAGGCAGCGUACGGCCUGCGCACCGGAGAGAACUUAUUGUCUCAUUUUUCUGUUUUUACAGGCCGCAGCUGACCAUUGAAACAGCAGACUAGAUGGCAGUUUGAUCCCAAACAUCUAAGAGAGCGUGGAGGAGAUACCACGAAAUGGACAUGAGGAGAGCAGGACAGGACCGAAGAAGCACAUCAACCCAGUAGCAGGAACUGUAUCUACUCCUUUAUGUGAGGAGUAACGGCAGGAGCAGUGCCAGAGCCCAACAAAAGGACCUCCGGCAGCGCGUGUUUCUGACCAAAUCAUCAGAAACAGAAUCCAUUUCCUUUAGCGGGGACCUGUG
Molecule: long non-coding RNA, 362 nt
Organism: Oreochromis aureus
Lineage: Eukaryota; Metazoa; Chordata; Actinopteri; Cichliformes; Cichlidae
Source: Ensembl